CAGGUGCCCGCAAGGGCUCAAUAGGGAAGCCGGUGGAAAUCCGGCACGGUCCCGCCACUGUAAGGCAGAGCUGAACCACAGAUGUCACUGGGAAACUGGGAAGACCGGGGAAGCGAGGAAGCCGAGUCAGGAGAACUGCCUGUUUG
Molecule: non-coding RNA, 146 nt
Filed under: human gut metagenome
Source: RNAcentral